This 302-nucleotide unclassified non-coding RNA is filed under the name uncultured Cortinarius. RNAcentral describes it as "sequence contains ITS2". The stretch from base 1 to 52 matches the Rfam family "5.8S ribosomal RNA", at positions 103 to 154 of the family's 154-position model. The record is from RNAcentral. Lineage: Eukaryota; Fungi; Basidiomycota; Agaricomycetes; Agaricales; Cortinariaceae.
AACGCACCUUGCGCUCCUUGGUAUUCCGAGGAGCAUGCCUGUUUGAGUGUCAUUAAUAUAUAUCAACCUCUUCAGCUUUUGCUUGCUUGAGUGUUGGAUGUGGGGGUUUUUUUUGUUGGCUUCUACGAGAGGUCAACUCCCCUAAAAUGUAUUAGCAGAACGAUUUGUUGAUCCUGUUCAUUGGUGUGAUAAUUAUCUAUGCUAUUGACAGGAAAGCAAGUUCAGCUUCUAAUAGUCCAUUGACUUGGACAAAUUUUCAUUAAUGUGACCUCAAAUCAGGUAGGACUACCCGCUGAACUUAA